This 2365-nucleotide long non-coding RNA is filed under the name Sorghum bicolor (sorghum). Its description in RNAcentral is "long non-coding RNA (SBIC_LNC006202)". The record is from RNAcentral. Lineage: Eukaryota; Viridiplantae; Streptophyta; Magnoliopsida; Poales; Poaceae.
GCCCAAAAUGUCUCUUGUCUUAUGCGAUGUAUGGAUAAUUCAUAUUUGUGUGAAUUGUGAUCUAUGAACUAUGGAUAUGUUCUUAUGCGAUGUAUGUAUAAUUUAUAUUUGUGUGAAUUAUGAUCUAUGGACUAUGGAUAUAUGGUAUUGUAUUAAUAUGGUCACUAGUCACUGGUCAGUGCAUAUUUGAUAUUUGGUAUUAUAUUUUGGUCUCUGUAUUUGCGCUAUCAUAUGCGGCUUACAUGUUCCGGUUUAAAUUUUCGCUUACCGCUCGUUUCCGUCUAUUUUCGAUCGUAUUUACCCGUUUUCGUAUUACCGUUUAUCCCGCUACCGUUUUCGCUCCCGGUUAUCCGGCUUCCGCUUCCGUUUUCGUCUAAAAAUAUGAAAAUGAAAAUGAUAGAGCGAUUUUCCGUUGUUUCCGUCCGUUUUCAACAUGGGUCACAUGAUACGGUAGCAGAUCGAGGUGCAUUGCCUCGUACUCUCCAAAUACAGAUGAGACGAAUGGUCUGGCAUGUCCAGAGGUGGAUUCGGGCCCCGUGCUAACCAGGCUGUAGCUCGGAGCGAGGCCCAAAAACUGUGGGAACAAGUUUCAUAAAAACAUGAUAAAAAGGCCAGCCAGCCCAAUAGCCCACCCCGACGCUUGUUCACUUUUAAAAUUUUUUGUAAAAUAGGAAUAGUAGUACUUUCGUUUAUAUUUGAUAAAUAUUGUCUAAUUAUAGACUAACUAGGUUCAAAAGAUUUGUCUCUUCAAUACCGAUCAAACUGUGCAAUUAAUUUUAAUUUUUAUCUAUAUUUAAUACUUCAUACAUAUGUCUAAAGUUUUGAUAUAACAGAGAAUUUAUAAAAUUUUGCAAAAUUAUUCAGGAACUAAACAAGGCCCUAGAUUCGGCGAUUUCCCUCUCCUCGUGAGUCGAUGCGGAGAUCCGAACACGUGACGCAAUGGGCGAGUCCGCUGCGCCCUCCUGCAGUCCGCUCUUGGCCCCGGUGUCCCCACUCGCCCAGGCGGCCAGGCCCCACUCUGCCAGCAAGACUACACCACUACGGUUGGCAGACAGCUGGGGGCUCUUGGGUCCGGCGGUUCGGACCGAAUUGUCGGUCCGACAAUUUUCCUGCGUUUCUCGCCUGUAUUGUUUUUCACCGAGACUAGACGCGUCUAAAUUAUUAGUCUUUUAGUGUAGACUGUUUAAAUUGUUCCUUUAUUGUUUUGAUGCAUGCGGCAACGUUAACCUUGUUCGUAAUUGGCUAGAAAUUGUGGCAACACAUAAAUUAUUAGGCCCUUCGUUUAUUGGCUUUAUAGCACUUUCAUUUGUAUUUGAUAAAUAUUAUCUAAUCAUGGACUAAAUAGGCUCAAAAGAUUCGUCUCGUAAAUUAUAGAUGAACUAUGUAAUUAAUUUUUUUAUUUUUAUCUAUAUUUAAUACUUUAUGCAUCCGUCUAAAGAUUCGAUAUGAUGGAGAAUGUGAAAAUUUUUGUAAUUUUUUAGAACUAAACAAGGCCUAACCUGCACUGGUAAAGCAGGAGAACAUGGAGACAUAUGACAGCUGUCCCAUCACCAUUGACCUACUCACCCAUACAUGCUAAUAAAUCUUAUAACUAUAAAAAAAGUCAUAACUCCUGAACCAAAUAUCAAAAAUAAAUUCUGAUUACACCAUUACAUUCCUCGCAGCAAAUGCUCAAAACAAGGACUCACAUGAAUAUAUUUGAAUAAAAUUUAAUUAACGACCAUUUAUCUUAUAAAGAUAAAACAUUUUCUUUUAUUGAAUAGGUAUUCUAGUUUUAGAUUCGUAAAAUUUAUAAUAUGAUAUACACAAAAAACAAAUAAAUAAAAUGUCUUAAGUACAAAUAAUAACAUCUAGAGAAAACACAUAAGGAAAAAAGAAUAAAAACAUGUAAUGGAGAAAAAUUAAAAGAACAUCACAUGGAUACUUUUUAAAUAUCCUAAAAUAUACUACAAAACAUCACUUAUGUAGUACGUGAACAUUACUAAAUAUACCAUAGAACAUUAUUAAAUAUAUUAUAGAACAUGAACAUCACUAAAUAAUCAUAGAACACCAUAUGUGUAUUAAGUGAACAUCACAAAAAACUCCAUAGAACAUCACUAAAUACAUUAUAGAACAUCGUAUAUAUUAUGUGAACAUCACAAAAAAUAACAUAAAACAUCAUAUGUAUACUACGAGAACAUCAUAUAUUUGAAACAUUAUAUGUAUAUCACGUGAACACAAAGAAAACAUCACAGAACAUCGCAUGUACAUGAACAUAAAAAAGAACAUCACUACAUAAUCAUGAAAAACAAUGUAGAACAUCAUAAAAGAUAAUAUAAAAAAAGAAAAGGAAAAAGAAAUGAAAGAAAGGUAAAAAAAAUACAAA